UACGUAGGGACCGAGCGUUGUCCGGAAUCAUUGGGCGUAAAGAGCGUGUGGGCGGCCACUUAAGUCCUGCGUGAAAUCUUGCGGCUCAACCGCAAGCGGUCGUGGGAAACUGGGUGGCUAGAGUGCGGGAGAGGAGAGUGGAAUUCCUGGUGUAGCGGUGAAAUGCGCAGAUAUCAGGAAGAACACCCGUGGCGAAGGCGGCUCUCUGGGACGGUACUGACGCUGAGACGCGAAAGCGUGGGGAGCGAACAGG
This 253-nucleotide ribosomal RNA is filed under the name uncultured bacterium. RNAcentral's name for it is "partial 16S ribosomal RNA". It matches the Rfam family "Bacterial small subunit ribosomal RNA", at positions 524 to 776 of the family's 1533-position model. The record is from RNAcentral.